UGACAAAGUGCGGCCUAGAUACGGAUUGGAAGAUGACGACGAAGACGAUUCAAAGAAGACGACAGGUAACAGUAAAACGGGCAAAGAUGGGAAAAGGGAUAAAGACAAGGGAAAGAAUGUCAAGGCUAAAAAAAGCUGCGUCACU
This 145-nucleotide ribosomal RNA is filed under the name Conticribra weissflogii. RNAcentral describes it as "partial Trypanosomatid mitochondrial large subunit ribosomal RNA". The record is from RNAcentral. Lineage: Eukaryota; Bacillariophyta; Thalassiosirophyceae; Thalassiosirales; Thalassiosiraceae.